Molecule: long non-coding RNA, 445 nt
Filed under: Struthio camelus australis
Lineage: Eukaryota; Metazoa; Chordata; Aves; Struthioniformes; Struthionidae
Description: lncRNA (ENSSCUG00000015567.1)
Source: RNAcentral
ACACUUGUGUAGGAACAUGAUGCUGAGAUUGUAACUUAACUGAGGAGUUAAGCACUCCAGAGAAAUAAAAAUUUUUUUGUUCUGGUUGUAAAAGUAACGUGGUAGAUAUUCCUUGGUGGCCAUCAUAUGUGGCUUAAGCUCUUGCUAAGGAGAGGCAGGAAGAGAAACUGGCACUUGUGACCUCAUGAUCUGACUUCCUCAUGUCUCCCUCAUGUUAUGAAUAAGUUUCUCCUGAGCACUUUGUCUUCUGAUAUCUUAGGCACUGCAGAUGCAUUGAGUGACAUCGUACCCCAAAAGCAGCGGCAAGGAUCAAGCGAGAGGGGCACCGAAUGGGGCCAAGUAUGCCAAAAUCCUGCUGACUGCUGCCACUGCCAUUCUUGAAGGGUAGUUUGGGGUCUGUGAUGGUAGCCCGGAAGAGAAUGGGGCUGGGCUGGGAUGUUCUGUG